GAACAUGGAGUAAUGUGCCAAGCGCUGCCCUCCGAAGGCAGAGGUCAGAGGUUCGAAUCCUCUCGGGUGCGCCA
This 74-nucleotide transfer RNA is filed under the name Methylopila sp. Yamaguchi. RNAcentral describes it as "tRNA-Arg". It matches the Rfam family "tRNA". Rfam says of the family: Transfer RNA (tRNA) molecules are approximately 80 nucleotides in length. Their secondary structure includes four short double-helical elements and three loops (D, anti-codon, and T loops). Further hydrogen bonds mediate the characteristic L-shaped molecular structure. tRNAs have two regions of fundamental functional importance: the anti-codon, which is responsible for specific mRNA codon recognition, and the 3' end, to which the tRNAs corresponding amino acid is attached (by aminoacyl-tRNA synthetases). tRNAs cope with the degeneracy of the genetic code in two manners: having more than one tRNA (with a specific anti-codon) for a particular amino acid; and 'wobble' base-pairing, i.e. permitting non-standard base-pairing at the 3rd anti-codon position. Lineage: Bacteria; Pseudomonadati; Pseudomonadota; Alphaproteobacteria; Hyphomicrobiales; Methylopilaceae. The record is from RNAcentral.